Long non-coding RNA from Trichomycterus rosablanca, 413 nucleotides. RefSeq lists it as uncharacterized. NCBI's taxonomy places the organism in Eukaryota, Metazoa, Chordata, Actinopteri, Siluriformes, Trichomycteridae. The record is from RefSeq and is a predicted model, not a curated record. The transcript has 4 exons.
GUACAAGGACAAUUUGAAAUCAGACUCCAGUGAUACGUUGUCGGACGGGGAGAUUCAGUUGGAGGACUCUGACUCUCAGGGACCGCGGGCGUCUUCUGAAGCUCCAGGUGGGAUCAGUUCUGGAGAAGUCGUCUGUGAUGCUCUCGAGAACAAGGAUGCUGAAGGAGAAACCACCAACGGAGAACGUCAAGUGGAAAAGACGACAGACACGAACCCGGACAGCUUUGAGAGCCGAUAUACCGAUGGAGAGCUGCUGGGAAAGGGAGGCUUCGGUUCAGUCUACAAAGGUGACCAAAAGGCGAAUGGGAACCAGCAGGUAGAAGUUCCAUGCGCUGUACCCGAGACGGACGACAUCACAGAGGGAACGUCACGUGUGGUUGAGGACGUCUCUGAGCUGCACAAGUGCUAUGAGG